Molecule: non-coding RNA, 97 nt
Organism: Lachnospiraceae bacterium 3-1
Lineage: Bacteria; Bacillati; Bacillota; Clostridia; Lachnospirales; Lachnospiraceae
Source: Rfam
GGGAGCCGUAUACAUCGAGAGGUGUACGUGCGGUUCCGGGGCGAGGGUUCGGAAACCUGCUGUCGUGAGACAGUAAGGCGCCGGAUUCUUAGCCUAC